RNAcentral lists this small RNA (72 nucleotides) under Pluralibacter gergoviae. RNAcentral's name for it is "PyrD leader". It matches the Rfam family "PyrD leader". Lineage: Bacteria; Pseudomonadati; Pseudomonadota; Gammaproteobacteria; Enterobacterales; Enterobacteriaceae. The record is from RNAcentral.
AUUCCCUUUCGCCGCCCGAUCGAACAUAAUACGGCCCCGGUUUGCCACCGGGAAUCAGGAGAGUUCAUGUAC